UGUGGUGUACCCUAGCGGCAAGGGGUCAAACUGUUAAUUUGAAAGCCGUAGGUUCGAAUCCUACCGCCACAG
RNAcentral lists this transfer RNA (72 nucleotides) under Beta vulgaris subsp. vulgaris (sugar beet). It matches the Rfam family "tRNA". Rfam says of the family: Transfer RNA (tRNA) molecules are approximately 80 nucleotides in length. Lineage: Eukaryota; Viridiplantae; Streptophyta; Magnoliopsida; Caryophyllales; Amaranthaceae. The record is from Rfam by way of RNAcentral.